UACGUAGGGACCAAGCGUUGUUCGGAUUUACUGGGCGUAAAGGGCGCGUAGGCGGCGUGUUAAGUCAGCUGUGAAAUCUCCGAGCUUAACUCGGAACGGUCAGCUGAUACUGAUGUGCUAGAGUGCAGAAGGGGCAAUCGGAAUUCUUGGUGUAGCGGUGAAAUGCGUAGAUAUCAAGAGGAACACCUGAGGUGAAGACGGGUUGCUGGGCUGACACUGACGCUGAGGCGCGAAAGCCAGGGGAGCAAACGGG
This 253-nucleotide ribosomal RNA is filed under the name uncultured bacterium. RNAcentral describes it as "partial 16S ribosomal RNA". It matches the Rfam family "Bacterial small subunit ribosomal RNA", at positions 524 to 776 of the family's 1533-position model. The record is from RNAcentral.